Molecule: long non-coding RNA, 2966 nt
Organism: Triticum aestivum (bread wheat)
Lineage: Eukaryota; Viridiplantae; Streptophyta; Magnoliopsida; Poales; Poaceae
Exons: 5
Source: RefSeq, a predicted model, not a curated record
AAGAACUCCUCCCAUAUCCCUAACCUUCUGAAGGCCACCACCACACCCGUAGCUUGCCAUGGAUCGCGCCGCCGCCCGGCUCCCCACCGUCGUCUUCGCUCCCUGUCUCAUCUGCCGUCGCUGCCCACCACAUCCACUCUAUGUCGCAUCCCACCGCUUCCAUCGCCACCGUUAACCAUCUCUCGCCUUAGUCCUCUCUCUUGGACCAGCACGCUGCGGCGGAUGCUUCCGGUCGUGUGGUGGCGACGCGGCUGGUCGCCUAUAAGCUACAACAAUGGUUCCCUGUUGUACCCCUCCACUCACCAGACCGCUGAGGCAUGGAUGUACCCGGUGAAGAUCGCGCUCCGCAUAGCAAAUUCGGCCAUGUUCUGAGUGGUUGCUCGGCAAGGUAGAAGAGCAAGUGAUCAGAAGGCCCAUAAUUUUUUCAUGGAUGUAGAAGAAACCGAAAAGAUCCUUUCAUGGUUGUACAAGGAAGCCCUAAAAUACCUACCUUCACCUUCGCUUCCUCUAAUCUGUACUCUAUCCCUCCCCCAGUUGAAAAACAAAUCCACGUCUCUCUCAAAACCAAGUUGAGGCAUGGAUCCCGUGUAAUCAAGGAGCUUAUUGUGUCAAGAUUAUUUUCUUCCUCUGGAUCAGUCACCCCUUCAGAUAGUGUUGCGCGCUCAAGGGAUUCAAUCUAGAAUCUUCUCACCUACAGUACAACCUAUGGAUGUCCGAGAUCGGUCGGGGCAUAACUAUGCUCCUCAGGUGAGUUUAUAAAUUAAGAAACAUGUUGUCUAAACAAACAUAAACAUGAAGGAGCCUAAUGUCAGUUGUCAACAUGCCGCUGUUUAAGCACUCCUAAAUCAAUUUUCGUAUGGGCAAAACAUGCCAGGGACCCUAUAUGGCAAGAUUAAUAUCUUUUCUUGAUUUCUUUUGUUGCUGCUCUGCCACAAUCUCCUGAUUAAGGAAGUACCUUGCCAAGCUGGCAUGUCCUGGCCGUUGUAGGUAAGAGAAUUGACUUCUGAUGAACUUUCUUCUUCUUAUCCUCUUUCAGUUAGAUAGUUACAUUGUGAAACACUUGACAACGAAGCUCUCUGUCAACUAUUAGAGUAUUGACGGUUUCUGUCGUAAAUCUGAAUGUUUUUGCGGGCAAUUGUUUUGUAAAAGCAAUGGCACAUGACAACUACUAAAGCAUUGAGUGUCAUUGCUGUUGCACUUUCUAUAAGUAUGGGGAUUGAUUUUCUGCCAAUUCUGCGUUACAACUUACGACUGACAACUACUAAAUUUCAAUGCCCUUUUUGACAAUUUUAGGUUAAAUAGAAUGGCGUGUGAAAUAAUUGGUGCUAUCAACUAGGAGUAAUCAUGUCAUUGUUGGGUAAUGUAGCAGUUAUGCUCUGCAUUGAUAUUAAAGUCAACACAAAGGAACUCUCACAUAUGUUUGCUUUGUCUCCAACUGGGAAAUAAUGUGUGCAUACAUACCCACUGGAAUGUUACCCGCGCUCCGUACUCGGCUCCGGUGAUACAGUUUAACGGCAAGACACACUUAUCUAACAAAGUGCUCACAACUUCCCAGCAAAUGCUGCUCAUUGAGUGCCUCCUCCAUUCAAUGAGGAAAAGUUGACUGCUUGAGAAAAAGAAGCUGUGAGUUCCCCACAUCUACUGAACAUCGUUUUGGUUACUUCGUUUCUCUUCCUGCAGUUUUUGCAUGGGCUGCGGAUGUGAUGCUUUGUAUGGGAACAAGACUGAUAUGAUUUGGAUAUGCUGCAUGUACAUUCGACUUAGUUGUACUCGGGAAUGUUUAAGAAAGUAAUUUGCAACAACGUGGAUGUCAGAUUUAUCAACUACUGUCACUCUUGGUUUUGAAGGAUUUGAUUAUGGGAGUUUUAGUAUGCCCUGACCAAGUACAAUAGAUGUAGACACCAUUGUCGCUUCCUUAUUUGUAUGUGAUUCAGAUAUUUUAAAACCUUAUCUGUACCAUUGAAUUAUGUUUUUUUUCUGUGGGGAGUACCAUUGAAUUAUGUUGUUAUGUAGGUUGCCCGAUAUGUUCAUCGAUGCCGUGGACAACGAUUUUUAUUAUCGUUUCCCAUAUUUAUCUAAUUAGGUUUGCAAUUACACUUUGUUUUAUUUAUCAUCUGUAUCUAGAAAAUCAGAUUGUGAAGCUUAUAAUUUAUUAGUUUUUCUGUGAUUUCCCUUUAUUUUGCUGAUAGUCCACUACUCAGGAUUAUAAGAGCCACCAUCUUUGUGAGCAUUUUAACUUCAGGUGUUCCAAGGUGUUAGUAUGGUUCUACAGAGAAAGCUGCACAACAUGCCUAAUUUUGUACUUACCUUGCAGUUCUGUAGAUCUACUACAAUUAUAUGAUGUCCUCAAAUCAGACCUUUGCAAGCAUCACAAGAUAUCAGUAUAUAUAUGUAGCGCACCUUUGGUUCAAUCAUACAUUCAUAGUAGUUUGAUGUACUACGUUUUGGUUGGUAGAGAGGAUUCUGAUGGUGACGCAUGAUUCACUGUAUUUUGUUUUGUUUUCAGGCCGAUGAAAUUGCUGGACUAGAAAAAAAAUCUGUGUGUAUAUAAGUCAUCCAGCUCCGGGAGCGCGCGGAGCGAUGCUUGGGCGACUCCUAGAAAAUGGGUUGCGGGCCGCUUCGCUCCGGCGCGGUGCUUCGGAGCGGAGAGCUACCGAACAACGCCUUUGCGUUAGGAUUAAGAGCAUGAUGAUUGCAAGGAUUUUCAGUUUUGAAAGAUGAAAUUGUUGGACUGAAAAGAAAUCAGUGUGUAUAUAUGGUAGUUCUCAUUGCAACGUCCACUUUACUCUACAGAAGGUGUUGUUGUUAAUAAUAAUCUCUGUAUUGUAAUAACUUGUGGUUGGACACUUGAGCUCCGUUAGUAAGUCCUUACUAUGAAAUAUAUUCACUAAUGUACUAAUUGCGAAAUUAAUGUGUACGCAGUUACAUGGUUCAUUAUUUGUUUAUUACAAAUAUAUGGUUGUUUA